AGUUUCUGCGUAAUAUGGGUGAGUUCUUAGGUGCUAGUGUAAACCGCAUCGUGUGCGUUCCUGACUAAAAUACGACACAUAUAUACCACACUACCAACUUCACCAUUAUGGAGUCCUGUCCUUAGAAGAUGUCAGAUCAGUAUUUUGCACUCAGAGUAACCACUUCUAUCACAGUACCAAUUUGCUUAUCACAAAAUAUUAUAUUCUAAACUGUGACUUGGACUUUAUCCGGACAUACAACACAAUUAAAACGUAAGCAAGCAAUUCAUUUAUCAUCACAGUUUGAAUUGAGUUCCAAAAGGAGUAGGAAGAAGCAGAAGAUUAUCCAGUCCUACAGUACUCCUACUCAAGUUUAAUUUUAUAAUACCAUAAUGAAGUGAAUUAUAUUUAUACAGCUCUUUUCUCUAGUGAUUCAAAGUGCUUUUACAUAGUAAAACCCAAUACCCAAGUUAUAUUUAAACCAGUGUGGGUGGCACUGGGAGCAGGUGGGUAAAGUGUCUUGCCCAAGGACACAACAGCAGAAGCGGGGAGCGAACCUGGAACCGUCAAUUUGCUAGCACUACCACUCUACCAACCGAGCUAUACCACUCCUCCCACACAAACAGUGCAUAUGUAUGUAUAAACAAACAAUAACCUUGGUACACAAUUAUCAAAGACAACUAUUUUCGAUACAUUUAUUGUUUGCAGAUGGUUGGAUAACUUGAUUUUAAAAUGUAAGUUAAGAUGACAAGUAGAUAUUGAAGUGUUUAUUUUUGAUAACUUUCUAAGAAUGCUUGGAACAUCAGAUAAUAUUAAAGUGUUAUCUGAUGUGCAUGCGAUUUUCUGUCAAGAUUGGAAAAACACAUACAUUCGUCAGAAGUGCUAUUGACAGUUUGGUUAUGUUCGGGUUUCCCUUUGUUAAGAAUCACUUCCGGUCCUGGUGCAGUGUUUCCUGUUUGGUCCCUGUGUUUUGCAGCACCUUCACUUUCUGUUCCAUGUCCUGUCAGCAAACCUGUUCUUUGUUUAAUUAGUUGUAUUUAGUUCCACUUUGGCAGCACGGUGAUAGAGGGGUUAGUGCAUGUGCCUCACAAUACGAAGGUCCUGAGUAGUCCUGAGUUCAAUCCCGGGCUCGGGAUCUUUCUGUGUGGUUUGUAUGUUCUCUCCGUGACUGCGUGGGUUCCCCUGGGUACUCUGGCUUCCUCCCACCGCCAAAAACAUGCACCUGGGCUGCACCUAGGUUGAUUGGCAACACUAAAUUGACCCAAGUGUGUGAAUGUGAGUGUGAAUGUUGUCUGUCUAUCUGUGUUGGCCCUGCGAUGAGGUGGCGACUUGUACAGGGUGUAUUCCUCCUUCCGCCCGAAUGCAGAUGAGAUAGGCUCCACCACUACCCGCAACCCCAAAAGGGACAAGAGGUGGAAAAUGGAUGGUUCCACCUGCGUCCUUCCUUCAGUGUUGGGUCAUUCUUGCUAUUCCUUUUUCCUGGAGACUGAUGUCUGUUACUCUUUCUUCCCUGCUUCCUUGUAAGUACUAAUUUUUUUUAAUUUUUUUCGUACUUACAUUCCGCCUGAAGUUCUUUGCAUUUAUAAGAUGUGGCAAAUCUUUUGCCACAUCUUAUUAAUGCCCGAAAAAUCAUUUUAAGUGCCCAACCACAUCAUUUUAUAUGGCUUGUGAAAGUCUGGAAAUAAAAAAAAAGCACUUUCUGGCUAAAUGUCACAUGGCGGUGACGUUGCUUUGGCGUGAGCCUCAGUAUGCAGAGAUUGGGAGGCGGAAUGCAAGAAUGAUGUGGUGGGUCAAAAUACAAUUAUUUGGCAAGCCAUGAUUAAAUGAAGUUAUUGAAAAGAUCUUGCAAGCUCAAAAACGUUUUGCUCACAUCAACGAACCUCCUGGAACCCCUGUUCUUCAAACCUAGUGACGUCCCUGAUGCUACGGUAGCUCUGUGUAGUGUCGAUGGUGCGGCAUUACAGCAGAAAGCAUAAGCAUUAACAGGAAAUUAACAAGUAAAGAGAAUCAUAUAUUAACUGUUGGUGUCAGUGAAGUGAAUUAAUUAACUAUGUUCUACAUAUGGUGAAUGUUUAUAUUCACCUUUGAGAAAACGAACCACCAGGUUUAAGUAAAUAAUGGUUGAGCCCAUAAUAAAUAAAGGAGCCUUAGUUGGACAUUCGCAUGUGGACUGGAAUUAGUUCUCUCAUAAGACGAAGCAAUAAAACGAGGCUUCGGAAUGCAAAAGUUGCAGCUCUAUUCUGGGAGAGAGAUUCCAUGCUUAUUUUAACGACAAAGUUAAGUCAAAGUUAUGGUAUAAAUCUGUGUUCUUUCCAGACACUUACACACAAACAUCUCCUUUUAUGGUCAGGAUGUGCUCUCUUGACUUUGCACACACACCACGCACACACACACACAGGAAGUAGGAAUAUACAGUAUAACUGAUGAUUUGUCUUAGGAAUUCUUCAUUUUUGGCCUGAACUCCUACAGGUACUGCAGACCUAUAUAAUGAUGCUUGCUCUUAAUACAGCAACUUUUGGUUCAGUAAAGCGUCUCAGACGUCUCUUUUGAUCCAGCCUCCGGACGAGGAUGACAAGACCAGAAAUACACUUCAUCAGCAUUGUCACAGUCAGUACACACAGUGUAAGAGGAGGUUAGAUCUAUCUGGUGUCGAUAUUAAUAGUAUCAGCUCAUAAAUGAUGCUGCUUUGAUUUUUGUAUCCUAUUAACAUUGUUUUAAUCAAAGAAUUCCAUCUAUCCAUUUCCUGCCGCUUAUUCCCUUUGGUGUCGCGGGGGGCGCUGAUGCCUAUCUUGGCUACAUCGGGGUACACCUUGGACAAGUCGCCACCUCAUCACAGGGCCAACACAGAUAGACAGACAACAUUUGCACUCACACACUAGGGGCAAUUUAGUGUUGCCAAUCAACCUAUCCCCAGGUGCAUGUCUUUGGAGGUGGGAGGAAGCCGGAGUACCCGGAGGGAACCCACGCAGUCACGGGGAGAACAUGCAAACUCCACACAGAAAGAUCCCGGGCCCGGGAUUGAACUCAGGACUACUCAGGACCUUCGUAUUGUGAGGCAGCACACUAACCCCUGUACGACCGUGCUGCUCGAUCAAACAAUUUUUAGGUAUUUAUUUUAAGUGCAAUUAACAAUAGCAACACAAUAUUUUAAUCAGUUCCAUAUUAAUUUUUAUUAUGUGAUCAAACAAUUGCACAUAAUCAAAAUGAAUAUGGAACUGAUUGCUAUCGUUAAUUGGGCAAUUGCACUUAAAACACCUAAAAAAAUGUACAGUUAAUACAUGUGAUCGGAACAUUCCUACAACGAACCCUGUUAAAAAGCUUGCCAGAACAUUAUGAACUUAAUUGUAUUUACAAUUGUAAAUAUACAUUUUUUAAAGUUUACCUCAUCUUGGUUGUACCAGGCAGGACCACAUGUGGUGUUUUUAAUGCUAUUUAUUGAAUCUCUGUAGAAGCGUGAAUCAUCUCAAGCAACUUCGCAAGAGAUUCUCAAACAGAUUCAAGUGCAGUCUUUUAUUUUCCUAUGUUCCAACACAUUGUUGCUUUUCUAAUUGUGUGUAAUGUUAUAGUGUCCAAAAUAUUAAAUAUUCCAUCCAUCCAGUGUCCAAAAUAUUAAAUAUUGUAAAAUAAAACCUCUGCCCUGUUUUUGAUGAAUAUGUGUGCCUACUGCUUGACUGAAUUUUAAUGUUGGUCAUUAUGGUGGUACUUGGAGAGCCAAGUUUUUUUCCCGAGAUACUUGUUGAAAAUAGUUUGAGAACCACUGCAAAAAUCUUUAUCUGCAUUGUACUUGAAACUGAGAAGUCACAACAAUUCAUAAUUAAAUGUCAUUGUGACAAAACGUAAUUUUGCUAUGACUUAGCAGCAGCAGGUUCCAUUGUUGGAAAUCAAAUGUAGUUCUGACGUAAAGCUCAUUGCAAAGAUCCCUUCCCGUCUCAGUCAAUUCAGUGUCCAUCUUUGCAGAUACUGUCCUUUGUCCUUGUUGUAAGCACAAUACCAAU
Molecule: long non-coding RNA, 3974 nt
Organism: Nerophis ophidion (straightnose pipefish)
Lineage: Eukaryota; Metazoa; Chordata; Actinopteri; Syngnathiformes; Syngnathidae
Exons: 2
Source: RefSeq, a predicted model, not a curated record